AUCCUGGCUCAGGAUGAACGCUAGCGGCAGGCUUAACACAUGCAAGUCGAGGGGUAUAUUUCUUCGGAGAUAGAGACCGGCGCACGGGUGCGUAACGCGUAUGCAAUCUACCUUUUACAGAGGGAUAGCCCAGAGAAAUUUGGAUUAAUACCUCAUAGUAUAUCACAAUCGCAUGAUUGAGUUAUUAAAGUCACAACGGUAAAAGAUGAGCAUGCGUCCCAUUAGCUAGUUGGUAAGGUAACGGCUUACCAAGGCUACGAUGGGUAGGGGUCCUGAGAGGGAGAUCCCCCACACUGGUACUGAGACACGGACCAGACUCCUACGGGAGGCAGCAGUGAGGAAUAUUGGACAAUGGGCGCAAGCCUGAUCCAGCCAUGCCGCGUGCAGGAUGACGGUCCUAUGGAUUGUAAACUGCUUUUAUACGAGAAGAAACACUNCCGACGUGUCGGAGCUUGACGGUAUCGUAAAAAUAAGGAUCG
Molecule: ribosomal RNA, 479 nt
Filed under: Flavobacteriaceae bacterium JJ-2775
Lineage: Bacteria; Pseudomonadati; Bacteroidota; Flavobacteriia; Flavobacteriales; Flavobacteriaceae
Description: bacterial SSU rRNA
Rfam family: Bacterial small subunit ribosomal RNA
Source: RNAcentral